This 788-nucleotide ribosomal RNA is filed under the name Pseudoalteromonas sp. Its description in RNAcentral is "bacterial SSU rRNA". It matches the Rfam family "Bacterial small subunit ribosomal RNA", at positions 168 to 951 of the family's 1533-position model. Lineage: Bacteria; Pseudomonadati; Pseudomonadota; Gammaproteobacteria; Alteromonadales; Pseudoalteromonadaceae. The record is from RNAcentral.
ACCGCAUAAUGUCUACGGACCAAAGGGGGCUUCUGCUCUCUCCUUUAUAUUGUCCCCCGUGGGAUUAUCUAUUUGGUGAGGUAAUGGCUCUCCACGGCGACGAUCCCUAUCUGGUUUUAGAGGAUGAUCACCCACACUGGGACUGAGACACGGCCCACACUCCUACAGGAGGCGGCAGUGGGGAAUAUUGCGCAAUGGGCGCAAGCCUGAUGCGCCCCUGCCCCGCGUGUGAAAAAAGCCUUCUGGUUGUAAAGCACUUUCUCUCUCGAGGAAAGGUUAUAAUUUAAUACCUGCUAUCUGUGACAUUACUGACACAAAAAACACCGGCUAACUCCCUGCCACCACCCGCGGUAAUACAGAGGGUGCGAGCGUUAAUCUCAAUUACUGGGCGUAAAGCGUACACACGCGGUUUGUUAAGCGAGAUGUGAAAGCCCCGGGCUCUAACUGUGAACUGCGUUUCUAACUGUGACACUAUAGUGUGAUAGAGAGUGGUAGAGUUUCACGUGUAUCGCUGAGAUGCGUAUAGAUCUCAAAGAAUACCCAUGUCGAAAGCGCCCACCUGUGUCAACACUGACACUCAUGUGCGAAAACGUGUGGAGCACACAGGAUUAUAUACCCUGGGAGUCCACGCCGCAUACGAUGUCUACUAUAAGCUCUCAACCUCGCGUCUGUUUUUCUCAGCUAUCGCAUUUUGUAGACCGCCCUGGGGAGUACACGCGCAAGGUUAUAACAUCUCAUGAAGAUGACGACGGGGGCCGCACAAGCCGCUGGAGCAUGUGUGUUUAAUA